UUCUAACCGUAAACGAUGACAACCAGCGAUUAGUCGGCGUUAAUAUAUGACCCGACUAGCAGCUUCCGGGAAACCAAAGUUUUUCGUUUCCGGGGGAAGUAUGGUUGCAAAGCUGAAACUUAAAGGAAUUGACGGAAGGGCACCACCAGGAGUGGAGCCUGCGGCUUAAUUUGACUCAACACGGGAAAACUCACCCGGCCCGGACACCGUAAGGAUUGACAGACUGAGAGCUCUUUCUUAAUUCGGUGGGUGGUGGUGCAUGGCCGUUCUUAGUUGGUGGAGCGAUUUGUCUGGUUAAUUCCGAUAACGAACGAGACUCUGGCCUAUUAAAUAGACGAUAUAUUUCGAGUAUAUCGCGCUUCUUAGAGGGACAAGCGGCGUCUAGCCGCAUGAAAUAGAGCAAUAACAGGUCUGUGAUGCCCUUAGAUGUCCGGGGCUGCACGCGCGCUACACUGAAAGAAUCAGAGUGCGUUUUGCCUAGUUCGGAAGAACCGGGUAACCCAAGUAAAUUCUUUCGUGCUUGGGAUAGGGAAUUGCAAUUAUUUCCCUUAAACGAGGAAUUCCCAGUAAAUGCGGGUCAUAAGCUCGCGUUG
RNAcentral lists this ribosomal RNA (593 nucleotides) under Mesodorylaimus sp. 804U-023. Its description in RNAcentral is "SSU rRNA". It matches the Rfam family "Eukaryotic small subunit ribosomal RNA", at positions 1024 to 1643 of the family's 1831-position model. Lineage: Eukaryota; Metazoa; Nematoda; Enoplea; Dorylaimida; Dorylaimidae. The record is from RNAcentral.